This 255-nucleotide ribosomal RNA is filed under the name uncultured bacterium. RNAcentral describes it as "partial 16S ribosomal RNA". It matches the Rfam family "Bacterial small subunit ribosomal RNA", at positions 333 to 605 of the family's 1533-position model. The record is from RNAcentral.
UUUCACCUACGGGAGGCAGCAGUGGGGAAUAUUGCACAAUGGGGGAAACCCUGAUGCAGCAACGCCGCGUGAGUGAAGAAGUAUUUCGGUAUGUAAAUCUCUAUCAGCAGGGAAGAAGAUGACGGUACCUGAAUAAGAAGCCCCGGCUAACUACGUGCCAGCAGCCGCGGUAAUACGUAGGGGGCAAGCGUUAUCCGGAUUUACUGGGUGUAAAGGGAGCGCAGACGGCAGUGCAAGUCUGGAGUGAAAGCCCGG